GACGAACGCUGGCGGCGUGCUUAACACAUGCAAGUCGAACGGAAAGGCCCUGCUUUUGUGGGGUGCUCGAGUGGCGAACGGGUGAGUAACACGUGAGUAACCUGUCCUUUACUUUGGGAUAACUUCAGGAAACUGGGGCUAAUACCGGAUAGGAGCUCCUGCUGCAUGGUGGGGGUUGGAAAGUUUCGGCGGUUGGGGAUGGACUCGCGGCUUAUCAGCUUGUUGGUGGGGUAGUGGCUUACCAAGGCUUUGACGGGUAGCCGGCCUGAGAGGGUGACCGGCCACAUUGGGACUGAGAUACGGCCCAGACUCCUACGGGAGGCAGCAGUGGGGAAUAUUGCACAAUGGGCGGAAGCCUGAUGCAGCAACGCCGCGUGCGGGAUGACGGCCUUCGGGUUGUAAACCGCUUUCGCCUGUGACGAAGCGUGAGUGACGGUAAUGGGUAAAGAAGCACCGGCUAACUACGUG
Molecule: ribosomal RNA, 468 nt
Filed under: uncultured bacterium
Lineage: Bacteria
Description: partial 16S ribosomal RNA
Rfam family: Bacterial small subunit ribosomal RNA
Source: RNAcentral